CCCUUUUUUUACAAAAACAUGGUCUUUUGUUUAUAUAAAAGAUCUGGCCUGCCCUAUGAUUUAUUUAAAUGGCUGCAGUAUUUUGACUGUACAAAGGUAGCAUAAUCAUUUGUCUUUUAAUUGGAGGCUGGUAUGAAUGGUCGGAUGAGAAAUAUACUUUCUUUAUUUUAUAUAAAAAAUUUAAUUUUUUAGUCAGAAAGCUGGGAUGUUUUUAUAGGACGAGAAGACCCUAUAGAACUUUAUUUUUUUGAUUUUAUAGAUUUUCUGGUUUAUUAAAAAUUUAUAAUUUUAUAUUAAUUGUGUUGGGGUGAUAGGAAAAAUUAUAUAACUUUUUUUGUUUGUCACAUUUAUGUAUGUUUUUUUGAUCCUUUGAUUAAGGAAAAUAAGAUUAAGUUACCUUAGGGAUAACAGCGUUAUUUUUUUGGAGAGUUCUUAUCGAUAUAAAAGUUUGCGACCUCGAUGUUGGAUUAAAAUAAGUGGCAGGGGUAGAAUAUUGCUUCACUAGGUCUGUUCGACCUUUAAAUUUUUACAUGAUCUGAGUUUCAACCGGA
Molecule: ribosomal RNA, 551 nt
Filed under: Gigantomiris jupiter
Lineage: Eukaryota; Metazoa; Arthropoda; Insecta; Hemiptera; Miridae
Description: partial small subunit ribosomal RNA
Rfam family: Archaeal large subunit ribosomal RNA
Source: RNAcentral